CAGGGAGACAACACAAUGAUUUUGAUGCCUGAGUGCUUUUAUUCUUAGGCCGAAAUCCUGUCACCUUAGGUCGAUCGGUACCUCAGCUUUAAAGUUAAGGAUCAGCAACAAUGUUGAUUGCUUGAUGGAGAUUUUCAGUUCCUAAACUUUGUCUAGGUCACACCCCAAAAGGGAUGAGACUCCUGGGCCAUUAGCUCAGGUGGUUAGAGCGCACCCCUGAUAAGGGUGAGGUCCCUGGUUCAAGUCCAGGAUGGCCCAUUCGGUGUUGGGGGUUUAGCUCAGUUGGUAGAGCGCCUGCUUUGCAAGCAGGAUGUCAGGAGUUCGAGUCUCCUAACCUCCACUGACCGAACUUGAUUCCCAUCUCCAAUUUUUUUGGAGUUGAGCUCAAUUGGAGUGUGAUUUAGAUGUGUCCGCUGGAUGACCCCAGCUUCCUGUCAUUCCAAGUUUUAGGUUGAUGCCUUGAAUUUGGUUGAUAAGAU
Molecule: transfer RNA, 479 nt
Filed under: uncultured Synechococcus sp.
Lineage: Bacteria; Bacillati; Cyanobacteriota; Cyanophyceae; Synechococcales; Synechococcaceae
Description: partial 16S-23S ribosomal RNA intergenic spacer
Rfam family: tRNA (bases 268-340)
Source: RNAcentral